CACUUCCACCCGCACGCCCCACCCCACCUUCCCACACCCCCCCCUACCACCCGACCCUUCGGUGGCAGAUCUCUGCCAGUCCAGUGCCUUAAUGAAACUACCUGGGACCCCCGGCAGCCUGCCUGAUUUCCAUUGUUACAGAGCAGUCUUUCCUUCAUUUUCCAAAUGAAUCUCACAUUUUUUUAAAUCUGUUUUGAAAUGAGGAACUAUUCCGUGCCCACAUGUAGGAACUAAUCUACUGCACCGUGGUAGCAUGGGAAAACUUCCACCUACAGCACCGUUACCGUGGCAACAUGGGAACACUUCCACCUACUGCACCGUUACCGUGACAACAUGGGAACAUUUCCACCUACAGCACCGUUACCGUGGCAACAUGGGAACACUUCCGCCUAGUACACCGUUACCACGGCAACAUGGGAACACUUCCACCUACUGCACCAUUACCGCGGCAACAUGGGAACACUUCUGCCUAUGGCACCGUUACCACGGCAACGUGGGAGCACUUCCAUCAGCCUCCAUGGACUGACUGGGACAGGCGAGCUGCCAGCAGUUCUGUUUUUUACUCUUUUUCCAUUUCCUUUUGAUAUUUUUUUAUUAAAGACUGAACAGUAUGUGUGACAAUCUGUGCUAAUCUCUGUUUUUACUAUAUUCCUGAGGUCCUCAUUCAUAUUCUCAGGGGGGAGUCAGGCCUGUGAGGUCUGUGCCUCAGUGUGGUGGGGGGCAGACCUACCAGGUGACAAGACCUUAACGUCAUUUAGAAUUCGCCAGAUGUAAAUUAGCUGAUGUGCUCUUGCCUGGAGGGCCUCUUGCACCUCAUGAGGAAAGUCUCUGUGUGGCGUUCCAUCCGGCAGGAACCGCACAGCCUGCUGUGGGAGGGGAGAGGAACUGCAGCUGCUCUCUUACAGGGAACAGCCCUUACUUCCCUAGAGCUCUAAUGGGGAAUAGCCCUUACUUCCCUAGAGCUCUAAUGGGGAACAGCCCUUACUUCCCUAGAGCUCUAAUGGGGAAUAGCCCUUACUUCCCUAGAGCUCUAAUGGGGAAUAGCCCUUACUUCCCUAGAGCUCUAAUGGGGAAUAGCCCUCACUUCCCUAGAGCUCUAAUGGGGAACAGCCCUUACUUCCCUAGAGCUCUAAUGGGGAAUAGCCCUCACUUCCCUAGAGCUCUAAUGGGGAACAGCCCUUACUUCCCUAGAGCUCUAAUGGGGAACAGCCCUCACUUCCCUAGAGCUCUAAUGGGGAAUAGCCCUCACUUCCCUAGAGCUCUAAUGGGGAACAGCCCUUACUUCCCUGCACUGCAUUGGCCCGCCCAUCAAUCUCACCUUAUCCGUAUGGACCAGGGCUGCCCAACCCCCUGCCUGCAGAUCUACUGUCCUGUAGGUAAACAGACCAGUGCUGCCCAACCCCCUGCCUGCAGAUCUACUGUCCUGUAGGUAAAACAGGGCUGCCCAACCCUCUUCCUGCAUAUCUACUGUUCUGUAGGUAAAACAGGGCUGUCCAACCCCCUGCCUGCAGAUCUACUGUCCUGUAGGU
This is a long non-coding RNA of Anguilla anguilla (European eel), 1529 nucleotides long. RefSeq lists it as uncharacterized. NCBI's taxonomy places the organism in Eukaryota, Metazoa, Chordata, Actinopteri, Anguilliformes, Anguillidae. The transcript has 2 exons. The record is from RefSeq and is a predicted model, not a curated record.